Molecule: long non-coding RNA, 920 nt
Organism: Solanum pennellii
Lineage: Eukaryota; Viridiplantae; Streptophyta; Magnoliopsida; Solanales; Solanaceae
Exons: 2
Source: RefSeq, a predicted model, not a curated record
UACACCUUUCGAGAGAGUUUUUUUAACUGAUCUUCAUCCCUACUCCCACAUACCCACGUUUCUCUUUCUCCCCACGGGCCUAACUAUUUCUCUUUCAACCACUUCGUUGUUCUUCUUCUCUAUUCAAAUGAAAACCUCCACAAAUUUUGUACACAUUGUGAAGAAUAAAAAAGAUCAAUUACAAACCAUGCAGGAAAAUAAAAAAAGUACACCAUACACCUAGAAAGAGUCUGAGGACCCUCCGUGAUGAUCUCGAGGCUCCCAAGCUAAUUCUGAGCCCCCUUGUGAAUUACUUUUUGUCAAGACAACAUCGAAUGGAAGUUUUGACUUCUCCCUUGAGUCUAGAAAUGUCAAAUUUGAUUAGGUUGCAUAUUUCUUUUGUGUGCACGGGGUUUUAAACAAAACUUAGCUGAUUUUAUUGGUACCUGAUGUUGGUGCUUAAUUUUGCGACCCUGACUCGUUUAAGCGACUUUGCUUUAGUAGCCAGGGCUCCGAUUUAGCAAGCUAGGCCAGUUAAAUGGAAGUCGCUUUAGCAUCUCUCUCAUCGCUUAAACGAGCAUCACUUUACGACUAGGGGAUCACUCAAACGAGCUUAGCAGGCCAAACCAUACCCUUUUUGUGACCCUAGUGCUGCUUAAGCAAGCCUCGCUUUAGCGACCAGGGGCUUAUAAAAUAAACCGCCUCUUGCAGGCCAGUCACUUAAGAGAGAUAAGUGGUCACUUAAGUUUUAGCGAUCCAUCCCUCUUUAGAGAUUUGAUUGCAACAAUUCAAAGUCUGGUGUUUUUUUUGAGCUUGGGUCUAUGCAGUGGUGUGAUUGAAAGUGUGUGGCAUCCCUCGUUUCAGCGGGGCAACAUUCUGAGGUUGUUCGUAAAGAAAAAACUCCAGAUAUGUGAUUUGGAGCACAUGCUGUCAGCCUUAAG